GAUGAAGAACGUAGUGAAAUGCGAUAAGUAAUGUGAAUUGCAGAAUUCAGUGAAUCAUCGAAUCUUUGAACGCACAUUGCGCCCGCCAGUAUUCUGGCGGGCAUGCCUGUUCGAGCGUCAUUUCAACCCUCAGGCCCCCAGUGCCUGGUGUUGGGGAUCGGCCCAGCCUUCCUGUAAGGCCGCCGGCCCCGAAAUCUAGUGGCGGUCUCGCUGUAGUCCUCCUCUGCGUAGUAGCACAACCUCGCAGUUGGAACGCGGAGGUGGCCAUGCCGUUAAACACCCCACUUCUGAAAGUUGACCUCGGAUCAGGUAGGAAUACCCGCUGAACUUAAGCAUAUCAAUAAGCGGAGGA
RNAcentral lists this unclassified non-coding RNA (352 nucleotides) under soil metagenome. RNAcentral's name for it is "partial contains 5.8S ribosomal RNA, internal transcribed spacer 2, and large subunit ribosomal RNA". The stretch from base 1 to 120 matches the Rfam family "5.8S ribosomal RNA", at positions 35 to 154 of the family's 154-position model. The record is from RNAcentral.